ACUGAGGACAAUACCCUAUAGGAGUCAAGUACUGGAAUGUCUGACUCUUAAAUGAGAAGAUCUGUAUUCGAUCCAUUGCCUUAGGAUGAGUCUGCGGCGGAUUAGUUAGACGGUAGGGUAAUGGCCUACCGUGACUUUGAUCCGUACCGGCCAUGUGAGUGGGGGCCGGGAGAUGGACACUGAGACAAAGGUCCAGGCUCUACGGAGCGCAGCAGUCGCGAAAUCUUUGCAAUGCGCGCAAGCGUGACAAGGGAACCCCAAGUGCGCAUACAAAGUAUGUGCUUUUAUGAAGUGUAAGUAGCUUCAGGAAUAAGGGCUGGGUAAGACCGGUGCCAGCCUCCGCGGUAACACCGGCAGCUCAAGUGGUGAUCGCGUUUACUGGGUUUAAAGCGUGCGUAGUCGGUUUAGCAAGUUCUCUGUGAAAUCCUGCGGCUCAACCGUGGGGAUUGCAGAGAAUACUACUAGGCUUGAGGCCGGGGUAGGUGCAGGGUAUUCUGAGGGUAGCGGUGAAAUGCUAUAAUCCUUGGAAGACCACCGGUAGCGAAGGCGCUGCACUGGAACGGGCCUGACGAUGAGGCACGAAAGCUAGGGGAGCAAACAGGAUUAGAUACCCUGGUAGUCCUAGCCGUAAACGAUGCGGGCUUAGUGUUCCCUGAACCUCGCGUUCGGGGAGUGCUGUAGGGAAACCGUUAAGCCCGCCACCUGGGGAGUACGGUCGCAAGGCUGAAACUUAAAGGAAUUGGCGGGGGAACACCACAAGGGGUGGAUGCUGCGGUCAAUG
RNAcentral lists this ribosomal RNA (781 nucleotides) under uncultured archaeon. Its description in RNAcentral is "bacterial SSU rRNA". It matches the Rfam family "Archaeal small subunit ribosomal RNA", at positions 139 to 906 of the family's 1478-position model. The record is from RNAcentral.